RNAcentral lists this ribosomal RNA (495 nucleotides) under uncultured bacterium. RNAcentral describes it as "partial 16S ribosomal RNA". It matches the Rfam family "Bacterial small subunit ribosomal RNA", at positions 28 to 507 of the family's 1533-position model. The record is from RNAcentral.
GACGAACGCUGGCGGCGUGCCUAAUACAUGCAAGUAGAACGCUGAAGGAGGAGCUUGCUUCUCUGGAUGAGUUGCGAACGGGUGAGUAACGCGUAGGUAACCUGCCUGGUAGCGGGGGAUAACUAUUGGAAACGAUAGCUAAUACCGCAUAAUAUUGACUAUUGCAUGAUAGUCAGUUGAAAGGUGCAACUGCACCACUACCAGAUGGACCUGCGUUGUAUUAGCUAGUUGGUGGGGUAACGGCUCACCAAGGCGACGAUACAUAGCCGACCUGAGAGGGGGAUCGGCCACACUGGGACUGAGACACGGCCCAGACUCCUUCGGGAGGCAGCAGUAGGGAAUCUUCGGCAAUGGACGGAAGUCUGACCGAGCAACGCCGCGUGAGUGAAGAAGGUUUUCGGAUCGUAAAGCUCUGUUGUAAGAGAAGAACGAGUGUGAGAGUGGAAAGCUCACACUGUGACGGUAUCUUACCAGAAAGGGACGGCUAACUACGUG